UACGUAGGGAGCAAGCGUUGUCCGGAUUUAUUGGGCGUAAAGCGCACGCAGGCGGUUUAGUCAGUCUCUACUGACAGUGUCCGGCUCAACCGGGCAAGUGGUAGGGAAACUGCUAAACUUGAGGGCUUCAGAGGGAUGGGGAACUCCAGGUGGAGUGGUGAAAUGCGUAGAUAUCUGGAGGAACACCGGUGGUGUAGACGGCUUUCUGGACCGUAACUGACGCUGAGACACGAAAGCGUGGGUAGCAAACAGG
This 253-nucleotide ribosomal RNA is filed under the name uncultured bacterium. RNAcentral describes it as "partial 16S ribosomal RNA". It matches the Rfam family "Bacterial small subunit ribosomal RNA", at positions 524 to 776 of the family's 1533-position model. The record is from RNAcentral.